Molecule: long non-coding RNA, 1904 nt
Filed under: Homo sapiens (human)
Lineage: Eukaryota; Metazoa; Chordata; Mammalia; Primates; Hominidae
Description: non-protein coding lnc-PDGFA-11:1
Source: RNAcentral
GAUGGGUUGUCAGGAUGUGGCCCCACCAGUCCAGGAGCAUCUGGGCUACGAUUAUUUAUUUUGUUCCUAGAAUUUCUCCAGCUUGGGCAUUGGGAGCUCUUGCAGACCCCGUCGACAUUCACUCCCUGAAGCCUCCAAAGCCACCGCCCUUCCCUGAGCUUCUGUUGGUCAGAGUGGAUGUGAACUGUGAGGCUGUAGAAUGAUUUGGGAAAAUUGUCUCUUCAUAUCUGUUAAAGCUAAAUGUACGCCUAGCCUAUGACUCAACAAUUCUGCUCCUAGGUAUAUACCCAAGAAAAAUCCACAAACAAGUUCACCAAAAGGCAUGUGCAAUACGCAGAGUGACACUAUUCAUGACAGUCUCCAAACUGGAAACAACCCACAUGUCCACCAAUGGAUAAACCGUGGUCUGGUCACACCAUCAAAUACAACAAUGGGAGUAAAUGAGAAGAAUGAAUGAAUCUCACAAACACAAUGUUGAGUGAAAGAAAUCAGACGCCAAAGAAUGCACACCAAGUGAUUCCAUUAAAAACAGAUCAUGGAGGCCGGGCGUGGCGGCUCACGCCUGUAAUCCCAGCACUUUGGGAGGCCGAGACGGGCGGAUCACGAGGUCAGGAGAUCAAGACCAUCCUGGCUAACACAGUGAAACCCCAUCUCUACUAAAAAUACAAAAAAAUCAGCCGGGCACAGUGGCGGGCGCCUGUAGUGGAGAUGGGCCUAGAUCCUAGAUGCUGAGAGGAGGCGUCCACACGGCUGAGGGAGGCCAGGCAGAGGCCAUAGUGUGGGUGAAGGCCAGAGAAUGGGCGAGCUCAGGGAACUGGGGGCCUCGGGGCAGAGCCCGGAGCAGAAUGAUGGGUGUGGGUGCAGGUGGGGCACAGGCUGGAGGUGUUGGGAAGAAGCCUGUCUGUGGUUGCUGGUGGCGUGCUCUCAUGCUCUGCAGAUGCCGGCCAACUGAUCCAAUCUGACAUUUCUUUGUUGAUCUUUUGCCUACUUGUUCUACUCAUAACGAAAGUGGGUCUCCUUAAUGAGCCUGAGGCCUGCUGCCUGCAAGUGCGGCCCCUCUGUGCUUUUGCUGGCUGUUUGUGAAGUCAGCCCUGCCUUUAAUAGGCCUGCUUGCAAUUAACAUGGAAUAUAAUACUGAAGAAUCUCUCUAUUCUGGAACUCCCAUAAUGUGUGCACAGGCAUAUCUUUUAUUAUUGUGCUUUGCUUUAUUGCACUUCACAGACAUUGUGGGUUUUUUUGUUUGUUUGUUUUUUUGAGAUGAGGUCUUGCUCUGUCUCCCAGGCUGGCGUGCAGUGGCAUGAUCUUGGCUCACUGUAACCUCCACCUACCAGGCUCCGGAAAUCCUCCCACCUCAGCCUAGCAAGGUCUUAACGCUCUUCAAUUCUGUGAAGGCUGAGAGAGGUAAGGAAACCACAGGAGAAAAGUUGUUUAGCUCACUGGGCAUCUUUAAGAAGGUUACCUUGAAUGAUCAGUUAAUUCAUCUCUAGGUGAGAACCGCGUCACGUUUGAGAAGCGCUGAUGGCUUCCUGCAGGACGGGAACGGACUGUGUUCCUUUAGCUCGCACGGCUCCUCUCCUGAGUGUGAAUUUCGGUGCCUGUUGCUCCUUUACUAUAAAUCAACCUUGUGUUUUAAGGCAGCCGUCCCCAACCAUUUUGGUACCAGUUUCAUGGGAGACAAUUUUCCCACGUACUGUGGGAUGAGGGUGGGGUUGGGGGGAUGGUUUUGGGAUGAAACUGUUCCACCUCGUAUGCUCAGGCAUUAGUUAGAUUCUCAUAAGGAGCACGCAACCUGGAUCCCUCUCACACGCACAGCUCACGACAGGGUUCAUGCUCCUAUGAGAUCGAAUGCCGCCGCCGAUCCGACGGGAGGCUGUGCGGCCCAGUUCCUGACAGGCCACGGACCA